This 496-nucleotide ribosomal RNA is filed under the name uncultured Glomeromycotina. RNAcentral describes it as "partial small subunit ribosomal RNA". It matches the Rfam family "Eukaryotic small subunit ribosomal RNA", at positions 591 to 1092 of the family's 1831-position model. Lineage: Eukaryota; Fungi; Glomeromycota. The record is from RNAcentral.
CCAAUAGCGUAUAUUAAAGUUGUUGCAGUUAAAAAGCUCGUAGUUGAAUUUCGGGGUUCUACCGUUGGUCGGGCUAUUGUCUGUACUAGUGUGUAGAAUUUCUACCUUCUGGGGAACCAUCAUGUUAUUAAUUUAGCGUGGUGGGAAACCAGGACCUUUACCUUGAAAAAAUUAGAGUGUUCAAAGCAGGCUUACGUCUGAAUACAUUAGCAUGGAAUAAUAAAAUAGGACGGUGGUCCUGUUUUGUUGGUUUCUGAAUCACCGUAAUGAUUAAUAGGGAUAGUUGGGGGCAUUAGUAUUCAAUUGUCAGAGGUGAAAUUCUUGGAUUUAUUGAAGACUAACUUCUGCGAAAGCAUUUGCCAAGGAUGUUUUCAUUAAUCAAGAACGAAAGUUAGGGGAUCGAAGACGAUCAGAUACCGUCGUAGUCUUAACCAUAAACUAUGCCGACUAGGGAUCGGGCGAUGUUAAUUUUUCUUGACUCGUUCGGCGCCUUACG